This 75-nucleotide transfer RNA is filed under the name Nanobdellota archaeon. RNAcentral's name for it is "tRNA-Arg". It matches the Rfam family "tRNA". From Rfam's summary of the family: Transfer RNA (tRNA) molecules are approximately 80 nucleotides in length. Their secondary structure includes four short double-helical elements and three loops (D, anti-codon, and T loops). The record is from RNAcentral. Lineage: Archaea; Nanobdellati; Nanobdellota.
GGGCCCGUAGCGCAGUCAGGAAAACGCGUGCGGCUUCGGACCGCAAGAUCGGGGGUUCAAAUCCCUCCGGGCUCA